Molecule: transfer RNA, 73 nt
Filed under: Microlunatus sp.
Lineage: Bacteria; Bacillati; Actinomycetota; Actinomycetes; Propionibacteriales; Propionibacteriaceae
Also listed under: 4 other names
Description: tRNA-Arg
Rfam family: tRNA
About the family: Transfer RNA (tRNA) molecules are approximately 80 nucleotides in length. Their secondary structure includes four short double-helical elements and three loops (D, anti-codon, and T loops). Further hydrogen bonds mediate the characteristic L-shaped molecular structure. tRNAs have two regions of fundamental functional importance: the anti-codon, which is responsible for specific mRNA codon recognition, and the 3' end, to which the tRNAs corresponding amino acid is attached (by aminoacyl-tRNA synthetases). tRNAs cope with the degeneracy of the genetic code in two manners: having more than one tRNA (with a specific anti-codon) for a particular amino acid; and 'wobble' base-pairing, i.e. permitting non-standard base-pairing at the 3rd anti-codon position.
Source: RNAcentral
GCCCCCAUAGCUCAGGGGAUAGAGCAAGGGUUUCCUAAACCCUGUGUCGCAGGUUCGAAUCCUGCUGGGGGCG